AAAAAAUACCAACUCCUCAGGAACAGAUGCUAAAUAUAUUGUCUACUUUGUCGGACUUAAAAUGCAAAUAUUUUUGAUUUUUGCUUAUAAAAUAUUUUGAUUUUAUUGAAAUUUGGUUCAUAAACACGUAAACAAACAAUAAUUGCUAUUAUGAUAGGUUAUUUGUAAAAACGGCAGUCGUUUAUUUAUUGUUUCAUUGACACAAAAAACAGAGGAGC
This 218-nucleotide long non-coding RNA is filed under the name Mytilus galloprovincialis (Mediterranean mussel). The record is from RNAcentral. Lineage: Eukaryota; Metazoa; Mollusca; Bivalvia; Mytilida; Mytilidae.